Molecule: non-coding RNA, 115 nt
Organism: Triticum aestivum (bread wheat)
Lineage: Eukaryota; Viridiplantae; Streptophyta; Magnoliopsida; Poales; Poaceae
Source: Rfam
UAUGUACUCCCUCCGUUCAGAAUUACUUGUCUCAGAAAUGGAUGUAUCUAGAACUAAAAUACAUCUAGAUACAUCCAUUUCUGCGACAAGUAAUUCCGAACGGAGGGAGUACAUC